UCCGUAGGUGAACCUGCGGAGGGAUCAUUACAGAGUUGCAAGACUCCCUAAACCAUUGUGAACCUACCUUCUACCGUUGCUUCGGCGGGCGGGCCCAGCGCCCCCCCCGGCCCCCCGCGGGCGCCCGCCGGAGGAUACCCAAACUCUUGACAUUAGUGGCCUCUCUGAGUAUUCUUUACUGAAUAAGUCAAAACUUUCAACAACGGAUCUCUUGGUUCUGGCAUCGAUGAAGAACGCAGCGAAAUGCGAUAAGUAAUGUGAAUUGCAGAAUUCAGUGAAUCAUCGAAUCUUUGAACGCACAUUGCGCCCGCCAGUAUUCUGGCGGGCAUGCCUGUUCGAGCGUCAUUUCAACCAUCAAGCCCCCGGGCUUGUGUUGGGGACCUGCGGCUGCCCGCAGGCCCUGAAAACCAGUGGCGGGCUCGCUAGUCACACCGAGCGUAGUAGCAUACAUCUCGCUCAGGGCGUGCUGCGGGUUCCGGCCGUUAAACAGCCUCUGCGCUACACCCAAGGUUGACCUCGGAUCAGGUAGGAAGACCCGCUGAACUUAAGCAUAUCAAUAAGCGGAGGA
This is a ribosomal RNA of 568 nucleotides. The stretch from base 192 to 345 matches the Rfam family "5.8S ribosomal RNA".